CUCUUCGACGCCGGGCGUCGUCCGUGUAGCGCGCACCUCCCCGCCCCGCAGUUCUCGCGAGUGUCGGUCGGUCGCGGAGGAACCCGGCGUGUAGUUCGGUGGUCGCCGACCGUGUGCUGUCAGCCGGAUCGUCAUUCGCCCACCUCUUGCCACACAGAUUGCCGCCAGCGCGAGGUGAUGGGUUCGGCCGCGUGCAGCUGCCACCGCCAGCAGAGUGACGCGGCCUGCUGACGUCACGGCACCCAGCACUCGCAGGCGGCGAGUUGGUGAUGGCGUGAGCCUAUGGAAGCAGAGUCGGCCCCCGCGCUAGGCGAGCGUCCCGCGUCGGCGGCGGCGCAGCUGCUGCACGUGCCGUGCGAUGGCGCCGCC
Schistocerca americana (American grasshopper) is the source of this 369-nucleotide long non-coding RNA. RefSeq lists it as uncharacterized. Lineage: Eukaryota; Metazoa; Arthropoda; Insecta; Orthoptera; Acrididae. The transcript is spliced from 3 exons. The record is from RefSeq and is a predicted model, not a curated record.